GCAGUCGUGGCCAAGUAAUUAAGGCGAUGGACUAGAAAUCCAGUGGGGUCUCCCCGCACAGGCUUAAAUCCUGUCGACUGCG
This is a non-coding RNA of Ixodes scapularis (black-legged tick), 82 nucleotides long. NCBI's taxonomy places the organism in Eukaryota, Metazoa, Arthropoda, Arachnida, Ixodida, Ixodidae. The record is from Rfam.